GUGUUCCCUUUGGCAGCGCAUAUACUGAAAUUGGAACAAUACAGAAAUUAGCAUGGCCUCUGUGCAAUGACAUGCACAUUCAUGA
Molecule: small nuclear RNA, 85 nt
Filed under: Peromyscus maniculatus bairdii (prairie deer mouse)
Lineage: Eukaryota; Metazoa; Chordata; Mammalia; Rodentia; Cricetidae
Source: RNAcentral